Long non-coding RNA from Humulus lupulus (European hop), 2917 nucleotides. RefSeq lists it as uncharacterized. The transcript is spliced from 2 exons. The record is from RefSeq and is a predicted model, not a curated record. NCBI's taxonomy places the organism in Eukaryota, Viridiplantae, Streptophyta, Magnoliopsida, Rosales, Cannabaceae.
CACAAGAAGAAGAAAAGGAGAAGGUUGUACGACGGCAGGGGGUCGGGGGAUGGUGGUCGACGACGGCAGGGGGUCGGGGUUGGGUUGUACGGCGGUAGGGGGCUCGGGGUUGGGCUCGACGGCAACGAUUGGUGGCUGGGCUCGACGGCGGGUGGGGGGGUCUCAGGUCUGGGCUCGAUGGCGCAUGAGCUGGGCAUUUUCUCAGUCCAUUCCCUCUCUCAGUCAGUCAGGUAUGGAGAUUGCUUUUUUAUUUUAUAUUUUAAUUUCUUUUCUGUUGUUUUCUUUCUUUCUUUUGUUUUGGUGAAAGGGGAUCUCUCAAUCUCACUGCCCUCCCUCUCUCACUCCGGUCUCACUCUCUCAAUUUCUGUCUCACUCUCACUCAGCUCCCCAGAGCUCCCUUACUCUAGUUAAGGUAUGUUUAUAUUUAUAUAAUUUAUGGUAAUGUGUAGUCUAUUCAAUUUUUAUGUUAUAUACGUUACAAUAAAAAUUCAUAAAUGCGUGCUUGUAUUUGAGUUUUUUUUAAUCAUCAAUUAUUGUUUCUUUUUUCUGUUUUGCUAUCAGUUUUCAUGUGCUCUCUAUUGUACUAUGUCUGAUUCUCUCUGAUAGAAACAAGUCAAUUUUUUCCUUUUAUCUUUGUUUAUAUAUAUAUAUAAAUAAUGUUAGGUUAUUUGUAUUUAUAAGAUAUAAUAUUUAAAGUAUAAAAUUUGUAUUUAGAAGAUGCCAUUAGAUACUUUAGACACUUUCUCUUAAUUUUGACAACAUAAUCUUUUACAAUGUUUGUGCUUAUAAUAAUUGUUCUAUACUUUUUUUUACUAAUCAGGAUGUUUUGUUUAAUUUUUUUGUGUGAAUAAAUUAGUCUUACCAUGUUUCGUGUUUGUUUUCAUCAAUUGUAUUUAUAGCUUCAAAUAGUUCUCAAAGUUUAACUAAAUUAUGGAUAUAAGUUAUUAAUUUUAUUUUUUUAUUUGUAAAGUUUGAUGAUUUCAAUUUGUUUGAUGCUUGAUGUAUGAUAUUUUGGUUUACUCUUAUGGACAAUUGCCUUGAAUAUUGCUUUUAACAGUUUUGGUUCAAAAUGAUAAUUUGUGCUUGUGCAGGAAUUCAUCACUUUGAAGAAUGAUUCUUUAUUGUUUUCAUAAAUUGUGCCUUCAUUAUUUAAGGAGAUUGAUUAACCUUGUAAGUUUGGGCUUUGGCUAUAAUGAAAUAUAUUUUCUGGAAUGUCUUUAUGUUUGAUGCUCAAUUCUUUGCUUGUACUGCUCUGUUAUAUCAUAAUUUGCUUUAGUUUAAAGUUUUGAAGACUUUUUGUUAAAAGAAAUUGGAUUUUGAUUUUUUCUUUUUAGACAUUAUUGGUGUUUUUGAGAGUUAUAUUCUUAUUUAUGUAUAAAGUAAGGAUACUUUGAGUGUUUUAUAUACUAAUAUGCAUUAAAAUACGACUUUGAGGAUAUUUAGUCCUGUUUAUAAGGUCAUUUGGUUUUCAAGAGAAAAUAGAAUCCAAUAUAUGCAUUAAAAUGAGAUAGAUGUGAGUGAACUUAUUUGUUAAUAAAUAAUGCUUUGGAAAUUUGCACAGACAAUUACAUGAGAAGUAGCAGUAGAAAUAUUGUCUUGCAACUCAUCACAAGACGAUGAAGAAUGUAGGAAUGAGAUGAUAUUGAUAUCCAAACUUCAACACAGAAAUCUUGUUAGGCUAGUUAGCUCACUCUUUUAGUUUUCUCUCUCUAUGAAUCUGGUUGUAUAUAUAUAUAUAUGUUUUUUUUGUUGUAUUCAUUCUAUUCUAUUUUUUUUGUAUGAAAGUGGAAAUUUUUUGGGUUUGUUAUGUGCUCCCGUUAGGUCCCUCUCUCUCGGCAUCCUAGCUACUCACGUAUGUAUUUUAUUAUCAUAUUUCAAGUUAAAGUUAAAACUAACUCUUAUAUGUGCCUUGCAUUGAGCAUAAGUGAUGUGAAAGGGGAACAUCAAAUUAAUUUUGCAUAUUUUGAAUUUAAUCAAUGAAAAGUUACUAAGCUAAAUUACAUUUCAUGUUUGGGUUGUUUGCUAUUCAGUUUGUAGUGUUGCUCCUAUGAUGGAAUGGAAAAGAAAAUAGUUGAAAUCAGAUUUUUAAGUUGUUACCAAUUACACUAUUGCUUGAAAUAUAUUUCGAUGUGGGUUUAAGUUGAAUCUUAGUUUGCGCUCAUAAAGUUUUGCUUAUUUUGAUCAUCAAGGCAAUGUACCUUUGUACCUUUAACCAUAUUUUUUACUCAUGCAAAUAUCGUACCUUUGCAUGCAAUUUGGAACAAUUUUGUGUUGUAUCUGUUUAGAUGAAGAUUGGAGUGAUGUUUUGUAGUUUUGUCAAAUGGUAUUUGGCAUUUUAACAGGACAAGCAAGAUAGGCAAUGCUUCACUGAAUAGUUACCAAGUUGUGAACCAAAAUAGACAAAGCUUCACUGAUUAGUUACCAUUUCAUCUCUUCAUCAGUGAGAAAUUGUGAACCAAAAUAGACAAUGCUUCACUAAUUAGUUAGUAUUGCAUCUCUUCAAGAGUGUUGUUAGUAUUUGACAGGUUCUGUUAAAACUAACAAUUUGUUUUGAAAAAAAUCUACACUACAAUAAAAAUAUAGUUAUAAUUUUUCAUGUUUUGUGUAUUAUAAUAUGACUUUUCAUGUUUUAGAGAUGAUUUUAGAAAGAAAUUCAUGGCAGCCAAUUCUUACUUUGGAAAGACUAUUGGUGACGAGGGUGAGUACAAGGACAAGAAGAAGAAAGAUAUGUUGUUUGACAAUGAAUUUAGUGUUUUAUUUUAUUUGUAAUUUUUAUUAGAGUAAAUUAUUCUUUUUUGAGUGGUUAAUUAUUUACUUUGUAAAUUUAGUUAUAUAUUUUUUAAGGUCAAGACGAUUAUGUUUAUAGACAAGACUAUAUGAUUUUUGAGUCAAGUAGUAGUGUUAUAUUUAUCCUAAA